ACAGCAGCAGCCACGGUAAUACGGAGGGUGCAAGCGUUAAUCGGAAUUACUGGGCGUAAAGCGCACGCAGGCGGUCUGACAAGUCAGAUGUGAAAUCCCCGGGCUUAACCUGGGAACUGCAUUUGAAACUGUCAGGCUGGAGUCUUGUAGAGGGGGGUGGAAUUCCAGGUGUAGCGGUGAAAUGCGUAGAGAUCUGGAGGAAUACCGGUGGCGAAGGCGGCCCCCUGGACAAAGACUGACGCUCAGGUGCGAAAGCGUGGGGAGCAAACAGGAUUAGAUACCCCUGUAGUCCCUGUCUCUUAUAC
This 305-nucleotide ribosomal RNA is filed under the name uncultured bacterium. Its description in RNAcentral is "partial 16S ribosomal RNA". It matches the Rfam family "Bacterial small subunit ribosomal RNA", at positions 506 to 807 of the family's 1533-position model. The record is from RNAcentral.